Long non-coding RNA from Leucoraja erinaceus (little skate), 493 nucleotides. RefSeq lists it as uncharacterized. The record is from RefSeq and is a predicted model, not a curated record. Lineage: Eukaryota; Metazoa; Chordata; Chondrichthyes; Rajiformes; Rajidae. The transcript is spliced from 3 exons.
CAGACGAACUGGGUGCGGACCCGGCAGGGUGGAGCUGGGGCCGACCUGAUAGGGGGAAGGGUCGUCGGAACAAAGCACAGAUAGAGGUCUUAGGCAGGGGAGCGGACCGAGUAGGGUGGACUGGCCACUGGAAAAGCGGACCUGAAAGGAAUAUGAUGGUCAAGCGGACCUGAAGGAGAAAGGGCCUAACCGACCACGUGGUAUGAGUAGCAGACUGGAUGGACGUGCGAGGACACCACUACCGAGGGAUUUACUACAAUUGCAGAAUUGGUUUUUUACAAUAUUUAUUCUACGACGAUCCAGCCUCCACAAUCCUCUGAGACCUGUUCGAUCCUAACCUCAGAUGCUGUCUGUACGGAGUUUGUACGUUCUCCCUUUGACCGUGCGGGAUUUCCCCCGGGUGCUCCGGUUUCCUCCCGCAUCCCAGACGUGCAGCCUCUCUGCACCUGCUUCCUACAGGAGAAGAAGUCUCACUUGCUUCACCAACUCCGAG